CCGGAGUUUGGGCACUCUGUGCCCCCCUCCCAACCUUUGCUUACCCAUCCUCUGUUGCUUUGGCGUGGCAGCACGCCAGAGAACCUACUCUAUUCUGUUUUGUAACUGCUGUCUGAGUAAUAUUAAAUAAAUAA
This 134-nucleotide unclassified non-coding RNA is filed under the name uncultured Ascomycota. RNAcentral describes it as "sequence contains ITS1". The record is from RNAcentral. Lineage: Eukaryota; Fungi; Ascomycota.